GUAAGACUUCACUAUAUAUGAAUAUGAUAGAAUCCCUUUUCAUUCUAAAUAUAAUGAAAAAGAGUAGUUUCUCCUAUGUCUUCGCAUCAAAAAAAAAAUAUUUGUUCUCUCCUAGAAAGAAUUUUUUUUUCGUAAAAUCUCGUCUAAUAACUAACUAAUAACAAGUAAUAAAUUAAGGUUCUAUUCCAACACGGAACGAAAAGGACAAUAUACAGGAUGGGUAGAAAGAUUUGUGAUACUUCGCUCGAUUCAGGGAAACUACAGGAUAUAGAAAAAAUAUACCAAUCCUAAAGAUCCAUAGGAUUAAUUGUGGAUCC
Molecule: long non-coding RNA, 317 nt
Filed under: Olea europaea (common olive)
Lineage: Eukaryota; Viridiplantae; Streptophyta; Magnoliopsida; Lamiales; Oleaceae
Description: long non-coding RNA (OEUR_LNC004475)
Source: RNAcentral